Molecule: ribosomal RNA, 244 nt
Filed under: uncultured bacterium
Lineage: Bacteria
Description: partial 16S ribosomal RNA
Rfam family: Bacterial small subunit ribosomal RNA
Source: RNAcentral
CACGUAGGGUGCGAGCGUUGUCCGGAUUUAUUGGGCGUAAAGAGCGUGUAGGCGGCCAGGUAGGUCUGCUGUGAAAACUCGAGGCUUAACCUCGAGAUGUCGGCGGAAACCAUCUGGCUAGAGUCCGGAAGAGGAGAGUGGAAUUCCUGGUGUAGCGGUGAAAUGCGCAGAUAUCAGGAAGAACACCCGUGGCGAAGGCGCUCUCUGGGACGGUACUGGACGCGAGACGCGAAAGCGUGGGGAG